GAACUCUUUCCCUUUAGUCAGCAUUAGGGUUUUAAAACCCUAAACUGAACUUUUUCUUUCAGUCAGCAUUAGGGUUUUAAACCCUAAACUGAACUCUUUCCCUUUAGUCAGCAUAGGGUUUUAAACCCUAAACUGAACUUUUCCUUUCAGUCAGCAUUAGGGUUUUAAACCCUAAACUGAACUCUUUCCCUUUAGUCAGCAUUAGGGUUUUAAAACCCUAAACUGAACUUUUCCUUUCAGUCAGCAUUAGGGUUUUAAACCCUAAACUGAACUCUUUCACUUUAGUCAGCAUUAGGGUUUUAAAAUCCUAAACUGAACUUUUCCUUUCAGUCAGCAUUAGGGUUUUAAACCCUAAACUGAACUCUGUCCCUUUAGUCAGCAUUAGGGUUUUAAACCCUAAACUGAACUUUUUCCUUUCAGUCAGCAUUAGGGUUUUAAACCCUAAACUGAACUUUUCCUUUCAGUCAGCAUUAGGGUUUUAAACCCUAAACUGAACUCUUUCCCUUUAGUCAGCAUUAGGGUUUUAAACCCUAAACUGAACUUUUCCUUUCAGUCAGCAUUAGGGUUUUAAACCCUAAACUGAACUCUUUUCCUUUAUUCAGCAUUAGGGUUUUAAAUCCUAAACUGAACUCUUUCCUUUAGUCAUCAUUAGGGUUUUAAACCCUAAACUGAACUCUUUUCCUUUAGUCAGCAUUAGGGUUUUAAAUCCUAAACUGAACUCUUCUCCUUUAGUCAGCAUUAGGGUUUUAAACCCUAAACUGAACUCUCUUUCCUUUAGUCAGCAUUAGGGUUUUAAACCCUAAACUGAACUCUUUCCAGCCAGUCAGCAUUAGGGCUUUAAACCCUAAACUGAACUUUUUCCAUUCAGUCAGCAUUGGGGUUUUAAACCCUAAACUGAACUCUUUCCUUCAGUCAACAUUAGGGUUUUAAACCCUAAACUGAACUCUUUCCAUUUAGUCAGCAUUAGGGUUUUAAACCCUAAACUAAACUCUUUUCCUUUAAUCAGCAUAAGGGUUUUAAACCCUAAACUGAACUCUUUCCUUCAGUCAGCAUUAGGGUUUUAAACCCUAAACUGAACUCUUUUCCUCCAGUCAGCAUUCUGAACUCUUUUCCUUUAGUCAACAUUAGGGUUUUAACCCCUAAACUGAACUCUUUUCCUUCAGUCAGCAUUAGGGUUUUAAACCCUAAACUGAACUCUUCUCCUUUAGUCAGCAUUAGGGUUUUAAACCCUAAACUGAACUCUUCUCCUUUAGUCAGCAUUAGGGUUUUAAAACCCUAAACUGAACUCUUCUCCUUCAGUCAGCAUUAGGGUUUUAAACCCUAAACUGAACUUUUUCCAGCCAGUCAGCAUUAGGGUUUUAAACCCUAAACUGAACUUUUUUCCCUUUAGUCAGCAUUAGGGUUUUAAACCCUAAGCUGAACUCUUUCCAGCCAGUCAGCAUUAGGGUUUUAAACCCUAAGCUGAACCUUUUCCCUUUAGUCAGCAUUAGGGUUUUAAACCCUAAACUGAACUUUUUCCCUCUAAUCAGCAUUAGGGUUUUAAAACCCUAAACUAAACUUCUGUCCAUUCAGUCAGCAUUAUGGCUCCAACCCUAAACUGAACUUUUCCCCAAUUGGUCAGCAUUAGAGUUUCAACUCUAAACUGAGCUUCUCCCCAGCUAGUCAGCAUUAGGGCUCUAACCCUGAACUGAACUAUUUCCAUUACGCCAGCCUUAGGGCUCCAACCCUAAACUGAGCAUUCAUACCUUUUGUCCAUAUCGUUGAUCCAAUCCCGGAGUUGGCAUUUUGGAAACUGAAAUUUUUCAAUCCUUUCACCAACUCUAUAAACUUCCUGGCAACUAACUCACGAAAUUUUUCCUAGUAGAACUGGGGUAGAAA
This 1878-nucleotide long non-coding RNA is filed under the name Nicotiana tabacum (common tobacco). RNAcentral describes it as "long non-coding RNA (NTAB_LNC015827)". The record is from RNAcentral. Lineage: Eukaryota; Viridiplantae; Streptophyta; Magnoliopsida; Solanales; Solanaceae.